CCUAUGGGGUGCAGCAGGCGCGAAACCUUUACAAUGCGGGCAACCGUGAUAAGGGAACCUCGAGUGCCUGUAAACGCAGGCUGUUCAGGUGUUUAAAACGCACCUGGAGAAAGGGCCGGGCAAGACCGGUGCCAGCCGGGUUGUUAAGUCUCUUGGGAAAUCUGGCGGCUUAACCGUCAGGCGUCUAAGGGAUACUGGCAAUCUUGGAACCGGGAGAGGUGAGGGGUACUUCGGGGGUAGGGGUGAAAUCCUGUAAUCCUCGAGGGACCACCUGUGGCGAAGGCGCCUCACCAGAACGGCUUCGACAGUGAGGGACGAAAGCUGGGGGAGCAAACCGGAUUAGAUACCCCAGUAGUCC
RNAcentral lists this ribosomal RNA (358 nucleotides) under uncultured Methanoculleus sp. RNAcentral describes it as "bacterial SSU rRNA". It matches the Rfam family "Archaeal small subunit ribosomal RNA", at positions 322 to 747 of the family's 1478-position model. The record is from RNAcentral. Lineage: Archaea; Methanobacteriati; Methanobacteriota; Methanomicrobia; Methanomicrobiales; Methanomicrobiaceae.